This 32-nucleotide transfer RNA is filed under the name Riccardia longispica. RNAcentral's name for it is "partial tRNA-Leu". Lineage: Eukaryota; Viridiplantae; Streptophyta; Jungermanniopsida; Metzgeriales; Aneuraceae. The record is from RNAcentral.
AAAAUUCGUUGGUUCAAGUCCCUCCACCCCCA